Pipra filicauda (Wire-tailed manakin) is the source of this 7195-nucleotide long non-coding RNA. RefSeq lists it as uncharacterized. The record is from RefSeq and is a predicted model, not a curated record. The transcript has 4 exons. NCBI's taxonomy places the organism in Eukaryota, Metazoa, Chordata, Aves, Passeriformes, Pipridae.
CCAUUUUUGGUUUUUAGCAGUGCUACUUUCCAUAGCUUGUCUUAAAAAAUCUACAAAGUUUUUUGCUUCUCUUCUGAUGUUCAGGUCUGUGGGGUUACAUUUUAUAGUGAUAUCAGCACACACCUUCCUGCCACAUUUGGGUCCUGGGUUCCUAUGCCCUCUUGCUGCCUCCCAUGUUCAGUUCUGCUGCUGUUGUUUCAGGGAAGUGCCCUCCAGCAGGAUCAGGCUCCCUGGGGUUGUUUCUACUCUUUAUUUGUCACGUCAGCGUUGAUGCUGACUCUUAUCUCCUCAGAUGCCACUGCAUUUCUUUUUCUGUGUUUCAGGCCUGACAGCUCUUUGAGAUGCAUUCAUUGUGCAAGGAGGGCAAAGACCUUGUGAUACAAUCUCUGCAAUCAGAGGGCAAACCUGUCCCUUCCAGUGAGGCCCUGUAGCAGCUCUGUGUAGCCUCCUGGCAUGUGCCCUUUAAUGGAACUUCUCCUUUUGUCUUCAGUAAAUCUGAUAGCAAUCAGGCAGCACAUAUGUGAGGUCAUGUUCCUGCUAUGAGGAAAGAUUGCUGUUAGCUACUGGGAUACACUUCUGAACAGACAAUUUUCUUCAGUUUCUUAACUGCCUUUUUACAAUGGAAGUGCAAACUGUUACUAAUAAACCUGAUAGUUUAUGGGUUUGGGGGAGAUUUUUUCUUUUUGUUCGAAAAACUCGAUUAAGCUCAUCACUGGCUGAAUAUAAAUGCUAAUACAUAGAGGGAACCAGCCAGCCAAAUUGCACUGGCUAAUUUCACUUAAUGAGAAUGUCUGAUUCUGCUCAGUCACUUUCUUGCUGAGUUCAAAUUCAGCUGCUAAAGCAGACCCAGGAGCUUUUUGUUAAAUAUUUUUAAAAGAUGAUCAGUUUAUAAUGAUGUUUUCAAAGUGUGUGACUUCUGUUUGCUGUGAUUGAUGUCACAUACCAGCUAGAAUAAAAUUUUUUCUUUAUUUAAUACCAUGCCAGGCAGUAUUUCUGGCAGAAGAUACAUGUGAAAAGAGAACAUCUGAAAACACUAAUUUGACUGUAUCUGUUGUUAAAUUGUGGAUGCAAGGCAAGACCUGUCUUUCAGAAGCCAAAUACCAGUAUAUGUAAAAGCAGAGAGGGUGUAAGAUCUAAUUAAAGACAACUUUGAGUAGUCUGAAAAAUAUAUGAAUCCUAAAUAUGCAAAAAUAAGUAAUGGCAGUCUGUCAGAAGAGGUGUUGGUGCACAUUACACACUUAAAGACAAAAAGAAUGUGUAAUACCAGAGCUUGCCACAAACCUUUCUGCCAGUUUAAUGAGGUUGCCAUUGCAAAGCUGAAUGUACUUUUUUUUUCUCUUGAUUUUGCUGUAAGGGAGGCCUCCACAAGAAACAGAAGAUUUUCUGUGCCACUCUUCAUGUCACAAGGCUGUGAAGAAAAGUUCCACUAGAGCAUGUUUUAUGAAAAAUGGUGUUUAACAACCUUUUCUAUAGAAAACCUUUGAUUUCUGAGCUGUGUAUAAUUUCUGCUCACUUCAGUCUUUUGGUCUUUUUACCUGGAGAGGAAUUUAGUGAAGUGCUCCAAGUUUUACACACUAGGACUUAUAAACUUAAAUAAGCAAUUCCUGUUAAUUUAUUUUCAGGCCUUAGCUAUUUUCAGGCUGGGUUUUAGGCUUUACCCUAUGGUUAUCCAGUGUGAGGUACCUUGAUUAAAUUCUCAGAAGAAACAGACCUCGUUUGUUUGAUUCCUGGUUUUGCAUAAUAAGGGAACUACUCAAAUCCAAAAAUAAAGAAAAUAAAACAUGGGGAGCAGGAGGGGAGAGAAAGGGAACAAUUUUGUUAAUCAAAGGUUAAUUUAUUGGACUAGGAGCAGAUUUGCUUGGCUUCUUGGAAGUAUUUGCUGCAUGUCCUUCUAAGCUCUGCUGGGAAGGACGAUGCACAGAAUAGAGGGUGUGAUAGACUCCAGGUGUUUUAUGGCACCUGCUCUGCUGUUUAGCACUCAAGUCAGAAUGGGGAAAAAACUGUUAGGUUUUCAGAGACUGUAAAUCUAAUAAUUUGCAAUAUAACUUUCACAGUUAUUUUUUACUUGCAAUCUGUGAAUCUAGGUGGGAAAAUUAUAUUACCUGUGGCCCUCUUGGUGUGACUCCUGAGCUCUUAAAUGCCAAUCUGAAAUUUUCUGGAAGGAAAGAUUGAUCUUCUGAAAUUAUAGGUUCAUGUGAGGGUCAUAAAUGCAUAAUAUGGAAAGAGCAUCAAUUGAUGUGCUCGGUGUUGGGUUAAAAUACAAAUUCAGAUGGAAUGGUUGGUGAGCCGCUUGUAAGUAUUUCAUCUAUUCUGCCUUCCUGUCUCAUUUAAGUAAAUUGAUUCUACAAAGGCAGCCACAUCUUGCCAGUAUUUUUUCGUUUUGGUGACUGAACUAUUACCUCUCACAGCAGGGCAGGACUAACACUUUGUAAUUGCUGUGAGAGGCUGGCACAUCUCUUUAACGCCAGAGUCAGCCAACUGCAGCUCCCAGGGUCUUGCCUUAUCUGCAGAGCUUUGUCCAAAGUAUUGUGAGAUCUCCCACAGGUUUCCAUUAUGCUGAAUUGGCAGCCCUGGGAACCCAACCUCCAGCCUUUGGCAGCAGGAGGAGCUGCUGCCAGAAAUGCUCAUUCAGGUUGGUGGAUACGGUGAGUUGGCUCUGAAGGGGAAGAGAACUGUGGACUGUAUUAAAAAUUGUGCCAAAAUAUGAGACAUGUUCUUCUAUUUCUGUGUCAGAAAAAAAGCGUUAAGGCUCUAAUUAAAGACAAAUUUGAACUUGGAGAAAUUCAUGCCCAUCAUUGGCACCUUUCAUCUCUGAAUUUCAGAGCUAGCCCCUCUGCUAUAUGAAUUUUCACUGCUGCAAAAGUACAAAUACCAAAAGAGGGUGACACUUCAUGGUUCAAAUGAAAUCACUUGGAAAUGCUUUAAAUUAGGUCUUCUGAUUAGCUGCCUCACUGGAUAGUGUAGUAUGUGAGAGAGUAAAUCAAGCACUUAUUUUCCUUUGCUUUGCUGUCUGUGAACAGCAUUGAGCAGAAGAGACAACCAUCUAUCUGUCUUCCAAAUUAUAUGCUUUCUUCACAAAGGAGCCUUUGGUCUACUGCUACAUGCCUGUUCAGUUUUAGAGGAUAAAUACAGCCCACAGUUUUAGAGGAUAAAUAAAUCUGUGACUUCUUAUUUGCAACAAAAAAGUGUGACUGGAGAGAGGGUUGGCACAAGAGAAUAAGCUAUCAAGACUGUUGUGAAUGUUGGAGUGGCAGCAGGGAGAUGGCUGCAUUUAAGGAUUUUAGAGAAGAACUUGUCCUAAAUAAUAAGGUUUGAGCCAACUGUAGAGAAUAGGACUGCUGGUUAUCUUACAAGUCUUAUAUUAUCUUAUAUCUAUAUAUGUGUCCAGUUUUCUGAAGGACAGAACCUUUUUGAAAGAAAAAUGUCAGACUUCUAAAGUUAGCAAAUAAGAGCAGAUGAACUAGGUAUAGCAACCUCUUUGUUUUAUCCCUUUAGCCCAUUUUUUUCUGUUUGUAAUAACCUAGAAAUUCUCAUUCUAGAUUAGAUGUGGUUUCUUGGAGAUGCACAUUCCUCUGUUCCUCUGGUAAAGCUCAAAGUCUCUUGUUGUCACUGUAAUGCAAAUAAUAAUAAGAGCAUAAUCAAGGUUGUAUUUGUUUUGUGAUUAUUCUGAACACUAGAGACUAACAGUAAUUAUAAUACCAUUAAAUAGUAAUGGAAAAAGAUUUAAAAGUAGAUCAUGAGACUCCUGGAAGGAGGCGAAAAUCUUGCUCCCUUUUCUUCACUGCUGCAGGCAUUGCAUUCCCCUCUUUUAUGGCAAAAAGAGGAACCUAAAGUGUUUUCCAAAAUGCCAGGGGUCAAGAGCACCAUUUGAAGGACAGGUUUAUGUGGGAGAAACUAACUAGGAACUAAUUCAGUUUCAAAAAUUAGUUUCCUUGUAAUUUUAGUAGUGCAUUUAGUAGUCAGAGAUACUGCAUUUAGUGCCCAGAGACAGGAAUAUAACUUUGAAGAAAGCAAUGCUUCUGUAUACCUCUAUACCUCUCACCAUGGGAUCUGAUUGCUUUAUAAAUCUAUGCAGCCAGUGUUAUGACACUAUUUCAAACUUUUUUGUGGUGUGCAGAUGAGAAAGCAGUAUGUGAUACAGCUCUAUGGCCGAGACCUUUGUUCCAUGAAACAAUACUCAGUCCCUACAUCAUGGUUUGUGUAAGGUGGUAUUUACCUCCCGUCUUCUUUCAUAUGUGUUCACAGGGUAAAGCUCCUGUCAUGUGCUUGAAACUUUGUGUAAUCCAAGGGAUAAGAACACUGUCCAUCUGGAAGCCAGAGUUAGAGAAGAUAUGACUGCACAAUUGGGCCAGCCAGCAAAAUUCCCCAGAGUCGCGUAAUUCAGAGAUUUUUGUUUUCCCUAAGGAAUAGGGCUGGUGGCAGGAGUGGAAUGUUGAUUAUAUUUAUAUCGCAAAUUACAUUUGUCAUGUAAUGCCAUGGAGUGCUGCCAUGGAUGGCUACAAGCUCUUCAGAAGGGAUAGGCAAGGUUUUAUUUCAACCUGAGAUGCUACUCCAGAUGGUAAGGAAGAACAUCCUGGCACAGCCUGACUUCCGUGGCAUAGCUGGCAGUGUCAGGCUCUUUGCAGAAAGACAUGCACUCCCUUCUUGGAGUCAGGAGGAUUUGGCACUUCGUGUGAUUCUGCAUUAAAAGGGGAAUUCCACUGUACCAACUUGCAGGUUCUCCACAGUGCACAGGUAAGAACUUAGCAUGAUUUUGUAUCUCCCUUUGUAAAGGCUCUGCUAUAUUAAUGAGGGUUAAAAAAAGUGCAUUUCAUCCAGUAGAACUCCUUAAAGGAAAAACAAACCUCUCAUGAAAAGAUUUCUAACUGAAUUCGAGGCAAGUACUUCAGGGAGUAGCAUACUAAAACAGUGUUAUAUCAAAAAGCACCUACUUAGGUGAAGACACUUGUGUCAGCAUUUGUAUCACACACCAUGUAGAAGCUACAUACAGUGAGUGUUUCUAAGAUCAAGAGUAAACACUCUUUAGCUCUUAAAAGCAUCUGAUGAGCUGGGGGACUGUGCUUUUGACUUCUAUACUUUGUCUUUAAAUCAAGAUGCACUAAUUUGUGCUCCUUAUCACAUAAUGCCAUGACUUUUACAGCAGUCAGCAGGGAUGAGUCUGUUUCUGUACAGCAGCUGAAGAAAAUGUCAAGUAGAAAGACAUGCACUGCUCUCCUGAUACAAAUUAGCUUAUCACGUAAAUGGGGAAAUAGAGAACUCUGACCCUAUUAUAGCAGAAUGUAAGAUAGUGGAUUAACACUCCAGACUUCUAAUUAAUCACAGUGUGUCUCAUCCUCCUGAUUGCAGCUGAGUAGGCCAUUCUUCUACGUUAAACCCACAGCUGCCCAGUAUUAACACUUAUCUGUCAGUACAGCCCCUUGUGCAGCUGUUGGCCAAGGUGACAAUGUUACAAUCCUGCAUCGUUGAAAAAUAGGCUUCAGAAAUAUUCAGAAACAUCCUUACAUGUGAACUAUACCUUUAUUGUGUGAAUACUUAAAAAAAACCCCAUAAAUCUUAAAUUCUAAGAAGUGAAUAACACUCUGCUCUGCUUAUGCUAUUUUCUCAUGCAGGUAAAAUAAAGAGCAGUACUGAUCGUGGUUCUUCUAUAACAUGCACAAAGUAUUUUAUACAAACUACAAUAUUGUCAAUUUUUACAGGUUUACUAAAAUGGGAAUUCCAAAAUGUGUCACGUACAUACCAAACUUAUUUAAGAUCACACAGAUUAAUCUGAUACCACUUUUGAGGUAAACAUAUAUCACUGAACUGCUACAACAAGAAGAGCCAUAUUUAACUACUUAUUUUUAUUCCAACUUUCAAGACCAAGUUUUAAGAGGAAUUCUGCAAAGGAAUUGAAGCCAUUGAGUAAACAGACACUAUGCUGACCCCAGAAAAUAUAUCUGUAAUAGGAUCUCUCUUCUCAGUUUUAAGGCAUGUGAAACCAAACUAUUCUCACCAUCAAAAGCCAAACUAAGAAUUUCUCUCCACAGAAAGACAAAAGUUAUUUUCAAAAAGAACUAUCUUAAGGCAAUGUGCCAUUACUACAGGCUGCACACAAACCACAGCUAUCCUCCCCUGUUUUGUUUUCUAAAAUCUGACAGAAACCUCAGUGGUGGAACAAAAGGUGUGUACUAGUAUAUAUUCAGACAAAAGGACGAGAUAGAAAUUUAAUCUAAAAUCUACAGACUCUAAACAAACUCUGUAUAAUACGCUUUUAUUAUUCGUAACAGGCAUCCCCUUUUUCAUUUCACACUACAGAGAAACAGCAACGGACUGAUUCUUCAGUUAUCUGUCAAACUGUGGAAAAAUAAAAAAACUGAAAGCUAACUGAAUUUAUUACAUAGCAUUACUGGACUUUCAAUCCCCAGGUACAUCAGUAGGGAUGGUAACGAGGUCCUGGGUUGUAGGAGUUGUAGCCGUAUUGUCCGUAGUGGGAUGAGCCGUAUUGUCCUUGUCUGUGCUGCUGGUAGUUAUUACCCCAACCUCUUUCUGGCCUCUGAUUAGAUCUGUAGUCACCUUGCCAGUUGUACCUGUCCCCUCUGAAAUAUCUGCCAUCUUGAAACCUGCAAUGAAAAAAAUAUAGUUUUGACAUAAAUUGUGAAGUUUUAAAGAGAUGAACGAUAAUGAACUCUUAUAUUUACAGUUUUCAUUAAAACUGUCAUGUAAAUGGUAAUACACUCAAAUACUUAUCUAUGACAAAUUCAUGAAAACACAUCUACAUUCAUCUGAGAUCAGUCAUGAAUUUCUUACUUAAUACCCUGUUUGCUAAGGACAGUCUGUUUCCUAAUACAGAGUACUCACAGGCAUUAGGUGAACUGCUGCAAGUUUGAACAGAGACUCAAACAGACCAUUUAUGUAAACUCAACCAGGAGGUCCAUCUGUAGAUGUAUCAAAGCCACGUUCCAUCCAGUACCUUCAUGGUUGAAAGCUUUACCAAAGCAGGCUUAAGUACAACAAGCACAGAGAUCUGCACAUUCCCUAAGAUACGUGUGACCGCUAAAAUACCACCAGCACAGUCUCUUGCAGAUUUCCAUACUCAAGACACUGUACCUUCUCAGUGGUAUUUAGCCCUUGUUCAGUCUAAAUUUUGGCUUUUCAACUGUAUCUCAAUUCCUAUAAACACUUGAGCUGGCCCACAGUUGUUUUGUUUGCAAAUGGU